UGUCGUCAGCUCGUGUUGUGAAAUGUUGGGUUAAGUCCCGCAACGAGCGCAACCCUUAUCCUUUGUUGCCAGCGGUCCGGCCGGGAACUCAAAGGAGACUGCCAGUGAUAAACUGGAGGAAGGUGGGGAUGACGUCAAGUCAUCAUGGCCCUUACGACCAGGGCUACACACGUGCUACAAUGGCGCAUACAAAGAGAAGCGACCUCGCGAGAGCAAGCGGACCUCAUAAAGUGCGUCGUAGUCCGGAUUGGAGUCUGCAACUCGACUCCAUGAAGUCGGAAUCGCUAGUAAUCGUGGAUCAGAAUGCCACGGUGAAUACGUUCCCGGGCCUUGUACACACCGCCCGUCACACCAUGGGAGUGAGUUGCAAAAGAAGUAGGUAGCUUAACCUUCGGGAGGGCGCUUACCACUUUGUGAUUCAUGACUGGGGUGAA
RNAcentral lists this ribosomal RNA (434 nucleotides) under Escherichia coli. RNAcentral describes it as "bacterial SSU rRNA". It matches the Rfam family "Bacterial small subunit ribosomal RNA", at positions 1050 to 1484 of the family's 1533-position model. The record is from RNAcentral. Lineage: Bacteria; Pseudomonadati; Pseudomonadota; Gammaproteobacteria; Enterobacterales; Enterobacteriaceae.